UGCAGUCGAGCGAAUGGAUUGAGAGCUUGCUCUCAAGAAGUUAGCGGCGGACGGGUGAGUAACACGUGGGUAACCUGCCCAUAAGACUGGGAUAACUCCGGGAAACCGGGGCUAAUACCGGAUAAUAUUUUGAACUGCAUGGUUCGAAAUUGAAAGGCGGCUUCGGCUGUCACUUAUGGAUGGACCCGCGUCGCAUUAGCUAGUUGGUGAGGUAACGGCUCACCAAGGCAACGAUGCGUAGCCGACCUGAGAGGGUGAUCGGCCACACUGGGACUGAGACACGGCCCAGACUCCUACGGGAGGCAGCAGUAGGGAAUCUUCCGCAAUGGACGAAAGUCUGACGGAGCAACGCCGCGUGAGUGAUGAAGGCUUUCGGGUCGUAAAACUCUGUUGUUAGGGAAGAACAAGUGCUAGUUGAAUAAGCUGGCACCUUGACGGUACCUAACCAGAAAGCCACGGCUAACUACGUGCCAGCAGCCGCGGUAAUACGUAGGUGGCAAGCGUUAUCCGGAAUUAUUGGGCGUAAAGCGCGCGCAGGUGGUUUCUUAAGUCUGAUGUGAAAGCCCACGGCUCAACCGUGGAGGGUCAUUGGAAACUGGGAGACUUGAGUGCAGAAGAGGAAAGUGGAAUUCCAUGUGUAGCGGUGAAAUGCGUAGAGAUAUGGAGGAACACCAGUGGCGAAGGCGACUUUCUGGUCUGUAACUGACACUGAGGCGCGAAAGCGUG
RNAcentral lists this ribosomal RNA (726 nucleotides) under Bacillus sp. (in: firmicutes). RNAcentral describes it as "bacterial SSU rRNA". It matches the Rfam family "Bacterial small subunit ribosomal RNA", at positions 56 to 763 of the family's 1533-position model. The record is from RNAcentral. Lineage: Bacteria; Bacillati; Bacillota; Bacilli; Caryophanales; Bacillaceae.